This 274-nucleotide ribosomal RNA is filed under the name uncultured bacterium. RNAcentral's name for it is "partial 16S ribosomal RNA". It matches the Rfam family "Bacterial small subunit ribosomal RNA", at positions 523 to 796 of the family's 1533-position model. The record is from RNAcentral.
AUACGGAGGGUGCAAACGUUGUUCGGAAUUACUGGGCGUAAAGCGCGCGUAGGCGGUUCGUUAAGUCAGAUGUGAAAGUCCACAGCUCAACUGUGGAAGUGCAUUUGAAACUGGCAGACUUGAGUACUGGAGGGGGUGGUGGAAUUCCCGGUGUAGAGGUGAAAUUCGUAGAUAUCGGGAGGAAUACCGGUGGCGAAGGCGACCAACUGGCCAGAUACUGACGCUGAGGUGCGAAAGCGUGGGGAGCAAACAGGAUUAGAAACCCUAGUAGUCC